AAAAAUUUAGUUAAAAAAUAACAUUAGUUCGUCAAACUAAAAUUAUCAAUUUUUAUUGAUAAUUUUUA
Molecule: transfer RNA, 68 nt
Filed under: Staphylinidae sp. BMNH 1274252
Lineage: Eukaryota; Metazoa; Arthropoda; Insecta; Coleoptera; Staphylinidae
Description: tRNA-Asp
Source: RNAcentral